This 407-nucleotide ribosomal RNA is filed under the name uncultured bacterium. RNAcentral describes it as "partial 16S ribosomal RNA". It matches the Rfam family "Bacterial small subunit ribosomal RNA", at positions 30 to 526 of the family's 1533-position model. The record is from RNAcentral.
AUUGAACGCUGGCGGCAGGCCUAACACAUGCAAGUCGAGCGGAGCGGCGGACGGGUGCGUAAUGCCUAGUUAUUUGCCUGUUCGUGGGGGAUCACGUCCGGAAGCGGGAGCUAUUAACACAUCCUUUCAGAUUACUCUAGGGCGGAUUAGCUAGUUGGUGGGGUAAAGUACUACCAAGGCGACGAUCCCAAACUGGUCUGAGAGGAUGAUCAGUCACACUGGAACUGAGACACGGUCCAGACUCCUACGGGAGGCAUCAGUGGGGAAUAUUGGGCAAUGGGCGAAAGCCUGAUCCAGCCAUGCCGCGUGUGUGAAGAAGGUCUUCGGAUUGUAAAGCUCUUUAAGUUGGGAGGCGUUAUCAACAGAAUAAGCACCGGCUAACUUCGUGACAGCAGCCGCGGUAAUUC